GAUGAACGCUGGCGGCGUGCCUAAUACAUGCAAGUCGAGCGAACAGACGAGGAGCUUGCUCCUCUGACGUUAGCGGCGGACGGGUGAGUAACACGUGGAGAACCUACCUAUAAGACUGGGAUAACUUCGGGAAACCGGAGCUAAUACCGGAUAAUAUAUUGAACCGCAUGGUUCAAUAGUGAAAGACGGUUUUGCUGUCACUUAUAGAUGGAUCCGCGCCGCAUUAGCUAGUUGGUAAGGUAACGGCUUACCAAGGCAACGAUGCGUAGCCGACCUGAGAGGGUGAUCGGCCACACUGGAACUGAGACACGGUCCAGACUCCUACGGGAGGCAGCAGUAGGGAAUCUUGCGAAAUGGGCGAAAGCCUGACGGAGCAACGCCGCGUGAGUGAUGAAGGUCUUCGGAUCGUAAAACUCUGUUAUUAGGGAAGAACAAAUGUGUAAGUAACUAUGCACGUCUUGACGGUACCUAAUCAGAAAGCCACGGCUAACUACGUG
Molecule: ribosomal RNA, 497 nt
Filed under: uncultured bacterium
Lineage: Bacteria
Description: partial 16S ribosomal RNA
Rfam family: Bacterial small subunit ribosomal RNA
Source: RNAcentral